UACAGAGGUCCCAAGCGUUGUUCGGAUUUACUGGGCGUAAAGGGCGCGUAGGCGGCUCCAAAAGUCAGGGGUGAAAUCCGGCAGCUUAACUGUCGCAGUGCCUUUGAUACUGUGGAGCUAGAGGGAGGUAGGGGUCUGUGGAACUUCCGGUGGAGCGGUGAAAUGCGUUGAUAUCGGAAGGAACGCCGGUGGCGAAAGCGACGGACUGGAUCUCUUCUGACGCUGAGGCGCGAAAGCCAGGGGAGCAAACGGG
Molecule: ribosomal RNA, 253 nt
Filed under: uncultured bacterium
Lineage: Bacteria
Description: partial 16S ribosomal RNA
Rfam family: Bacterial small subunit ribosomal RNA
Source: RNAcentral